RNAcentral lists this small nuclear RNA (21 nucleotides) under Arabidopsis thaliana (thale cress). RNAcentral's name for it is "snRNA_11935". Lineage: Eukaryota; Viridiplantae; Streptophyta; Magnoliopsida; Brassicales; Brassicaceae. The record is from RNAcentral.
AUUAGCGGUAGUGGUUUAAUC